UACGAAGGGGGCUAGCGUUGUUCGGAAUUACUGGGCGUAAAGGGCGCGUAGGCGGUACUUCAAGUCAGGCGUGAAAUCCCCGGGCUCAACCUGGGAACUGCAUUUGUGACUGUAUAGCUAGAGUACGGUAGAGGGGGAUGGAAUUCCGCGUGUAGCAGUGAAAUGCGUAGAUAUGCGGAGGAACACCGAUGGCGAAGGCAAUCCCCUGGACCUGUACUGACGCUCAUGCACGAAAGCUGGGGGAGCAAACGGG
Molecule: ribosomal RNA, 253 nt
Filed under: uncultured bacterium
Lineage: Bacteria
Description: partial 16S ribosomal RNA
Rfam family: Bacterial small subunit ribosomal RNA
Source: RNAcentral